UGUAUCUCAAUGGACUUCUACUGAAAACAUGCCAGAGGCUACAAACUGAAAUUUAUAUUUCAUAGUUCGGGACACUGAGAAGUCCAAGUUCAAAAGUGCACAGAAGAACAGCAAUAUCCCAUCCCCUCUGCACCUCCUAACUGCUGUUUCAAGAGAUAAUGACUGAAGUUAGAUCUUCAUUACAAUGAAAAGCUCGGAGUGGAAAUUGCUCAGUGAAGUUGGUUGAUGCGGCUGUCGGGAGCAAAAGAACAUGAAGAAUGUACGUCUAUGGAUAUGAAGCUAAGAAGCCAAGGGGUGAAACUAAGAAUAACUUUUGUCAAAAGUUGUACAGAGGAAAAGAAAGGGUUGGUUAUCUUUGGUGAGCCAACAUUAAGCAAAAAUUUAUGUCAGGUGUGAUUCUAUCCCCUACAGUCUACAAGCUCCAUUUGACUUACACAGCUUUUGCCUGAGAAUUUUUCAUGGCAAGGUGAGAAAAGAGUAAUGACAGAAAAGAAAAAUGGAAUUUUGUUCAGUUCUUCAGACAAAACGUUAUUAUGAAACUUCCUGGAAAAUGGAUGUAAGUGGAAAGUAUUAGGAACAGGUCUGUGAGGUGAGGACUUGAAAGGGUUGGGAGGGUAUCAGGACACAUGCGACAGGAAAGUAGAAAGGGAAAUACCGAAGGCCAAAGGGUACAAGCAAAGAUGUUGCAGAGGAGUAAGGAGAUGGGGAGAAGGGCGGGUUGGGAGCAGAGGAUU
Molecule: long non-coding RNA, 734 nt
Organism: Peromyscus eremicus (cactus mouse)
Lineage: Eukaryota; Metazoa; Chordata; Mammalia; Rodentia; Cricetidae
Exons: 3
Source: RefSeq, a predicted model, not a curated record